RNAcentral lists this ribosomal RNA (507 nucleotides) under uncultured cyanobacterium. RNAcentral describes it as "bacterial SSU rRNA". It matches the Rfam family "Bacterial small subunit ribosomal RNA", at positions 381 to 896 of the family's 1533-position model. The record is from RNAcentral. Lineage: Bacteria; Bacillati; Cyanobacteriota.
GCCUGACGGAGCAAUACCGACGUGAGGGAGGAAGGCGUCUUAGGGUUGUAAACCUCUUUCGUACAGGGAAGAAAAAAAUGACGGUACCUGAGGAAUAAGCAUCGGCUAACUCCGUGCCAGCAGCCGCGGUAAUACGGAGGAUGCAAGCGUUAUCCGGAAUGAUUGGGCGUAAAGGGUCCGCAGGUGGCUAUGUAAGUCUGCUGUUAAAGAACCUAGCUUAACUAGGUAAAAAGCAGUGGAAACUACAAGGCUAGAGUGCGUUCGGGGUAGAGGGAAUUCCUGGUGUAGCGGUGAAAUGCGUAGAUAUCAGGAAGAACACCAGUGGCGAAGGCGCUCUACUAGGCCGCAACUGACACUGAGGGACGAAAGCUAGGGGAGCGAAUGGGAUUAGAUACCCCAGUAGUCCUAGCCGUAAACGAUGGAUACUAGGCGUGGCUUGUAUCGACCCGAGCCGUGCCGGAGCUAACGCGUUAAGUAUCCCGCCUGGGGAGUACGCACGCAAGUGUG